RNAcentral lists this ribosomal RNA (305 nucleotides) under uncultured bacterium. RNAcentral's name for it is "bacterial SSU rRNA". It matches the Rfam family "Bacterial small subunit ribosomal RNA", at positions 337 to 660 of the family's 1533-position model. The record is from RNAcentral.
GCCUACGGGGGGCAGCAGUCGGGAAUAUUGCGCAAUGGAGGAAACUCUGACGCAGUGACGCCGCGUGCAGGAAGAAGGUUUUCGGAUUGUAAACUGCUUUAGACAGGGAAGAUAAUGACAGUACCUGUAGAAUAAGCUCCGGCUAACUACGUGCCAGCAGCCGCGGUAAUACGUAGGGAGCAAGCGUUAUCCGGAUUUAUUGGGUUUAAAGGGUGCGUAGGCGGUCCGGAAAGUCAGCGGUAAAAGCCCGGGGCUCAACCCCGGCGAGCCGUUGAAACUGUCGGACUAGAGACGGCGAGAAGUAC